This 1954-nucleotide ribosomal RNA is filed under the name human oral metagenome. Its description in RNAcentral is "bacterial LSU rRNA". It matches the Rfam family "Bacterial large subunit ribosomal RNA", at positions 1 to 1999 of the family's 2925-position model. The record is from RNAcentral.
GUUAAACAUAAAGAGCGUAGGGUGGAUGCCUAGGCACUAAGAGCCGAUGAAAGACGUGAUAAGCUGCGAAAAGCUGCGGUAAGGAGCAAAUAUCCAUUGACCCGCAGAUAUCUGAAUGGGGAAACCUGCUUAAGAGAACCUUAAGUAUCCAUGGGUGAAUAAAAUAGUCCAUGGAAGGGAACCCGGUGAACUGAAACAUCUAAGUAGCCGGAGGAAGAGAAAGAAAAAUCGAUUUUGGGAGUAGUGGCGAGCGAAACCGAAAGAGCCUAAACCAUUGUGCGAGCACGAUGGGGUUAUGGACUGCACAAAGUCAAAGACUUGUUACCGGAAGGGAUAUGGAAAGACCUGCCAGAGAACGUGAGAGCCGUGUAGGGGAAAACAAGUCAAGAUGAGCAGUAUCCGAAGUACCAUAAGACACGAGAAACCUUGUGGGAAGUCGGGGGGACCACCCCCCAAGGCUAAAUACUACUUAGUGACCGAUAGCGCAUAGUACUGUGAAGGAAAGGUGAAAAGGACCCCGGGAGGGGAGUGAAAGAGAACCUGAAACCCUAUGUUUACAAGCUGUGGAACACCGCAAGGUGAACCGCGUACUUUUUGUAGAACGGUCCGGCGAGUUGCAUGUACUGGCAAGGUUAAGCACUAAAGGUGCGAAGCCGAAGAGAGAUCAAGUCUUAAUAGGGCGAAGAAGUCAGUGAAUGCAGACCCGAAACCGGGUGAUCUAUCCAUGUCCAGGUUGAAGUCAACGUAAAAGUUUAUGGAGGACCGAACCCACAUCCGUUGAAAAGGGUGGGGAUGAGGUGUGGAUAGGGGAGAAAUUCCAAUCGAACCCGGAGAUAGCUGGUUCUCCUCGAAAUAGUUUUAGGACUAGCCUUAAUUUAGUCUGAUGGAGGUAGAGCACUGAAUUUUUGCGGGGGCGUCAAAGCUUACCAAUGAAUAUCAAACUGCGAAUGCCAUACAGAUGAUGAUUAGGAGUCAGACUACACGAGAUAAGUUGGGUAGUCGAAAGGGAAAGAGCCCAGAUCUACGGCUAAGGUCCCAAAGUGAGUGUUAAGUGGAAAAGGAUGUAGGAUUUCAUAGACAACUAGGAUGUUGGCUUAGAAGCAGCCAUACAUUAAAAGAGUGCGUAAUAGCUCACUAGUCGAGAGGUUCUGCGCCGAAAAUGUCCGGGGCUAAAACACUACACCGAAGCCAAGGGAUGACGAAAGUCAUCGGUAGAGGAGCAAUCUUACCGACGUAGAAGCCAUACCGAAAGGAGUGGUGGAGAAGUAAGAAGAGAGAAUGCCGGAAUGAGUAGCGAGAGUGAGGUGAGAAUCCUCACGGCCAAAUACCCAAGGAUUCCAGAGUAAAGCUGAUCUGCUCUGGGUAAGUCGGGACCUAAGGCGAGGGAGAAAUCCGUAGUCGAUGGACAUCAGGUAUAUAAUCCUGAACUGCAUAUAAUCAGAAAUGUGGGGACACAGAGACUUAAGUCGAACCCGGGAGAGCAAAGACCGGGAUAAGCGAGGUAGCAGGUGGUAGGAAAAACCGCCACGAAAUGCGAAUACGUGAUAUGUAGCGAAGAAAAGUAGCGAAGUCGAAUAGGGAGCUGUCAAGAAAAGCCGCUAUAGUGUUAUAUGUACCCGUACCGAAAACCGACACAGGUGGGUGAGGAGAGAAUCCUAAGGCCGGCGGGAGAAGCAUUGUUAAGGAACUCGGCAAAAUGACCCCGUAACUUCGGGAGAAGGGGUACCGAAAGGUCACAGAAAAAAGGCUCAAGCAACUGUUUAGCAAAAACACAGGUCUAUGCGAAACCGAAAGGUGAAGUAUAUGGGCUGACGCCUGCCCGGUGCUGGAAGGUUAAGAGGAGAGGUCAGGCAACGAAGCUUUGAAUCUAAGCCCCAGUAAACGGCGGCCGUAACUAUAACGGUCCUAAGGUAGCGAAAUUCCUUGUCGGGUAAGUUCCGACCCGCACGAAAGG